This 253-nucleotide ribosomal RNA is filed under the name uncultured bacterium. Its description in RNAcentral is "partial 16S ribosomal RNA". It matches the Rfam family "Bacterial small subunit ribosomal RNA", at positions 524 to 776 of the family's 1533-position model. The record is from RNAcentral.
UACGUAGGGGGCUAGCGUUGCUCGGAAUCACUGGGCGUAAAGGGUGCGUAGGCGGGUUUUUAAGUCAGGGGUGAAAUCCUGGAGCUCAAUUCCAGAACUGCCUUUGAUACUGAAGAUCUUGAGUCCGGGAGAGGUGAGUGGAACUGCGAGUGUAGAGGUGAAAUUCGUAGAUAUUCGCAAGAACACCAGUGGCGAAGGCGGCUCACUGGCCCGGUACUGACGCUGAGGCACGAAAGCCAGGGGAGCAAACGGG